Long non-coding RNA from Apis cerana (Asiatic honeybee), 4014 nucleotides. RefSeq lists it as uncharacterized. Lineage: Eukaryota; Metazoa; Arthropoda; Insecta; Hymenoptera; Apidae. The record is from RefSeq and is a predicted model, not a curated record.
GAGAGGCUCGAAGGAAGAGACGCGAGGAGAAGGAGGGGAGGGGAGGACUUAAUCGUCCACGGCCUCCUAGAGUUCUCUCUCUUUCGAGUGCGCCGCGAGAAAUACGAGGACCUGUCACUGAAGUGGCUGGAACUUCUAUUGCCGCCGCGAUAUACCGUGCAGUUUACAUACCUCUCCCGUUUUGAUCGUUUCCCCAUUAAUCCUUAACGUGCCGGGCCUAAAAUACGUUCAGUAUUUCUUCAUCAGAAAUGCUUUGAGUUAAAAUAUUCGUGUGUCCAUUAAUAAAGUAUUUUAUCUUGUAUAUUGCUAUAGUGUUUUCGACGUAAAAGUAUCAGACGUGAUAAUUUUGAAAGGAAGAAAGUGACGGUGCUCGCUCGUGUGCUAAAACGUUUGGCACGUCAUGAACGAUACUGUAAUAAUGCGAAUCCAACAAUAAUCGUUACCACGAUCAACUGGCUUGCUUCUCUGGCGAUGAAAAAGUUCUGGUAAUUAAUUAGUUGCUGUAACGAAUAGCGAAGACUUGGAGCAAGGGAGUUAACAAGAAUUAUGUGUCCUCUGCUUUCGGGAGAGGAGCUUACUAAUUGGAUCGCGUAAUGAAACCGAGCGAGAUGAUAAAUUGAAUAGGUUCGUUAAGCAGCUAGUAUUUUCGUGGAAGACGUAUAAUAACUGUUCGCGGUUUACGAGCAGGAUCUUCUCUUUUUCCUUCUCUCUCUCUAUCCUCCUUCCUCCGCAAAAGAGAUUCACGAGUCCCCCCUCUCCUUCUGCCCCUCCUCUUUCUUUUUUUUCCCCCCCUUUCAUGCGCGCACGCCACGUCUUUUUGCGUCGACGUUUUACUUCGCGGCGGAAUAUGCAAGUUCCCGCGACUUUAAGCACCUAAAUCUUGUUUCUUGCGUGCAACAUAUUACGAAAGUUUGAUAUUACAGGGAUAUAAGACGCUCGAGAGAGUUUGCGCGCGUCUUUCUGUCAGUUACCCCAACGUCUGCCGAUACGCGUCCUGUUUGCCUUCAAUGGCGGAAGUGGAGCGUAUUGGCGACGAGGAAAUGCCGCUGUUGACCGUGUCGACGUCGAAACGCGAAAGUUGCUUGGUAGUUACGGCUCGGGGAUGUGAAGGGGAGUUGACAACUGUUGUACUUUUCUUGUAUAACUCAUAGUUACGCUAUUAUGUCGGUGGAUAUGAAACGUUGUUUUGCCAAACUUUAAAAUUAGUAGAAUCCUCUUGUACAAUCGGAGUGUUUGUGAUAAAAAAACAACUUUUGUCAAAUUCUUUUCUUUCCCCCCUUCAGAAAAAUAAUCCUGGCAUUUUAAAACAGAACAGAAAUACCAAUUUUCAAAAUAAUCGUUUCAAUUUACAAUUUUUUAUAAUUCGAUUUUCUCAAAUUUUCUAUAAAAAAAAAUAAUUCCAAUUUCAAAUAUUUCAAUUCACGAAUCCCUUCAAUAUCUAUAACUUCUCUCUCUUUCUCACUCUUCCCUCUGACCCAUUAACCCAUUUGGCAAAAAAUUCCACGCCAGACCGAUUGCAUAUAAUAAAACACGUUCACCGUCCAACGAACGCGUUACACGUACAGGGAGACAUAAUGAACAGAAUCGCCGCCGGUGCAUUCCAAUUUCGAGUUCGAAUAAGGGGAUAGUCGGAAGGGAUGAGAGCGCGUGCACGUGGUCGAUCGGUGCGCGAUCGAAACAGGCUGCAUCGAACAAUGGUCAUUGUAUCCAGGAAUCCAGGAAUUAACCGUAACCGUGCGGGCCCAUUUCAAGGAUCAUGGCGCGACUGUCGCGUGAAAAGGCUUAAUCGGUAACACCGUCAAAGCGAGCGGCGCUGUCGUCGCGUAUUAUACGAAAUCCCUAGCGCACUUGUCACGGAGUCGUACGUUACUAUACGGUUAUACUUUGAUGUAAUGGCACAAUGUGUUAUAACGCGUCUACGUAUUUCGGACAAUGUGUGCUCGCGCUCCAUGAACUCGAUUCACCGCGACUGCGGAAGAUAUAUCGGAUCGUUUGGUAAAUUGGUAGUUGAAUAUGAUAUUACGAUUGUUAUAUCGUUUGGAAGUACGGAUCUUUUGCAGAGGAAAAAUAAUAUAUCGCUCGUCAUUGCUUGUCUAUUCAAUAAGAAAUUCACCUAACCUCAAAAUCAACGAAAUUCUUCGGAAAUUGAACGGAUCAAAAUUUAAUUAUCCAUCUCUAUACGCUAUUAAUAUUCAUCCUCAUUUCAUCCUCGAAUCGAAUUUUAAUUAAAUUAUUAUCAGAAUUAUCACUCGACACUCCCUAUAACGUAUCUAACCUUAUGUAAUCGUAUAAAGUGCCUCUCCAAUACAAGCAUCUUGCUCGACACACGUACAUUAAUCGUUACCGGACUAUCCUGUACACAAGCAUCUGCAGCUGCGUGCACAGUCGCGUUCUUGGAACAGGAGUGCAAAGUGAGGAGGAGAAGCAUACCGUGCGGAGGAGCAACCGUUCCCUCCCUUGCCCAGACGAGGACCGGUGUACAAGACAGACAACGUACGGGGCGACGUGCAUGUUCGCUUAUACCCGUGUAUAAGCGGGCCCGUCUAAAGCAGCGCCUAUCAAUGCCACUUGUGCGACAAUAUGACAAUGAACGGCUAUAGCACGGCUCGACUAAUACGAAAGGAGGCCGAUACCGAAAGAGUUUAUCGCUUUUGCCUCGAUCGAAUCACGUUCAGUCGGACAUUACACUUGAAUAGCAGCCGUGAACAACAGCUUCGAGAAUAGAUCUACUGGGAGAUCUGAGAGAUGAGACUGCGUUUCCUCGCCUUCUCUCUCGCUUCUCGACUCGACAAUAACGUGUUUUGUGCAGCGUGAUCGUCAUAACGGAGCGAAAAAGUGGGGAAUGGAGAGGAGGAGGGGAUGAGCGAUCGUUCGAGAAACUUCUGCCAAAUCGAUGGCAGUAGAUGGUAGGAAUGUAUUACGUAUUUUUAAAGAGCGCCUAGGCUGUUCGCGUUAAUUGUAUCGUUUUUUUGAACGAUUGAACAGAUGGAGGGAGGGAGGGCGGUCGUUUCUUUCAGGGAUUCGUGUGUCUGUGUACGAGCAGAGACGCAAAAGUUGAAUUUAAGGGCGACGCUCGUUACCCGUUUCCCUGAUUUCGUUCGACCGUUCCCUGGAAAGGUCUUCGAUCACUCGUUAAACGGACCUCUCGUUAUUAAUUAUCGAGGAAGAGCAAAAAUUCUUUGUCAAGUAUUUUUUCUUUUUUUUUUUUUCCAUUUAUUUCUUGCUCCUUCAAAUCCUGGAAAUCAUUUUGUUUCGAGAGUAAAUUAUACUCUUAAGCAUUUCACUAAUGGUUAAAGAUUAAACAUUUUGGUUUAUUGGCAUAUGAUGGAUCAAAUUUGCCAUAAUUUGAUCUCUUAAAUUAAAAUUGUAUGUAUUUAAAGAGAAAGGCAAAAGAACUGUUACGUUGUAAUGUAGCUAUCAUAAAUCAGGAACAAAUUCGUAAAUAUAUAUAUAUAUAUAUAUAUAAUUUAUUACUGUUUUAUUUGAAUAAAUUUUCAAAUAGAAAAAAUAUAAGAAAUUACAUUAAAAAAAAUAUCCUUGAUGAUAUAUCCUAUAUGAAAUAUCAUACACGAUGAAAAGCGGCUUAAACUAUGUGAAAUUUCACCUGAAUCGAUGACAGAUGCACCAAAAUGUACAUAAAACCUGUACCGAGGACUACUCAUAGCUGAGGAUCAUUGUUGCAACAGCAGAAACAAUUUUUCGACGAGAUUUCCCGUGGUACUGUGGGAUUUUACAAGCGUUCGUAUACUACUUGCCACGCGAAAACAAACACCGGCGUUUCCAUUACAAGCGAUGAAUCGCAACAUUUAUCCGACGUUUCACUGAAAUUGUCGUUCUUUUUUCAGAAAUCGUUGUUAGAUAAAGAUUCUUUGGAGAAUAAGCGAUAAUUAACUCGAAUCGAGGUAUGAAAAGAAAGAACUUAAUUUCGAUUUGAAGUUAACGACGUGCAACAAUAAGAAUUUAUAUACUUGAAAAAUAUUAUAUUCAAAAUAUUAAAGAUAACAUUUUUAUUUA